RNAcentral lists this ribosomal RNA (497 nucleotides) under uncultured bacterium. RNAcentral's name for it is "partial 16S ribosomal RNA". It matches the Rfam family "Bacterial small subunit ribosomal RNA", at positions 28 to 507 of the family's 1533-position model. The record is from RNAcentral.
GAUGAACGCUGGCGGCGUGCCUAAUACAUGCAAGUCGAGCGAACAGACGAGGAGCUUGCUCCCCUGACGUUAGCGGCGGACGGGUGAGUAACACGUGGAUAACCUACCUAUAAGACUGGGAUAACUUCGGGAAACCGGAGCUAAUACCGGAUAAUAUAUUGAACCGCAUGGUUCAAUAGUGAAAGACGGUUUUGCUGUCACUUAUAGAUGGAUCCGCGCCGCAUUAGCUAGUUGGUAAGGUAACGGCUUACCAAGGCAACGAUGCGUAGCCGACCUGAGAGGGUGAUCGGCCACACUGGAACUGAGACACGGUCCAGACUCCUACGGGAGGCAGCAGUAGGGAAUCUUCCGCAAUGGGCGAAAGCAUGACGGAGCAACGCCGCGUGAGUGAUGAAGGUCUUCGGAUCGUAAAACUCUGUUAUUAGGGAAGAACAAAUGUGUAAGUAACUAUGCACGUCUUGACGGUACCUAAUCAGAAAGCCACGGCUAACUACGUG